CAGGCCUAACACAUGCAAGUCGAACGGAAAGGCCCUGCUUUUGUGGGGUGCUCGAGUGGCGAACGGGUGAGUAACACGUGAGUAACCUGCCCUUGACUUUGGGAUAACUUCAGGAAACUGGGGCUAAUACCGGAUAGGAGCUCCCGCUGCAUGGUGGGGGUUGGAAAGUUUCGGCGGUUGGGGAUGGACUCGCGGCUUAUCAGCUUGUUGGUGGGGUAGUGGCUUACCAAGGCUUUGACGGGUAGCCGGCCUGAGAGGGUGACCGGCCACAUUGGGACUGAGAUACGGCCCAGACUCCUACGGGAGGCAGCAGUGGGGAAUAUUGCACAAUGGGCGGAAGCCUGAUGCAGCAACGCCGCGUGCGGGAUGACGGCCUUCGGGUUGUAAACCGCUUUCGCCUGUGACGAAGCGUGAGUGACGGUAAUGGGUAAAGAAGCACCGGCUAACUACGUGCCAGCAGCCGCGGUGAUACGUAGGGUGCGAGCGUUGUCCGGAUUUAUUGGGCGUAAAGGGCUCGUAGGUGGUUGAUCGCGUCGGAAGUGUAAUCUUGGGGCUUAACCCUGAGCGUGCUUUCGAUACGGGUUGACUUGAGGAAGGUAGGGGAGAAUGGAAUUCCUGGUGGAGCGGUGGAAUGCGCAGAUAUCAGGAGGAACACCAGUGGCGAAGGCGGUUCUCUGGGCCUUUCCUGACGCUGAGGAGCGAAAGCGUGAGGAGCGAACAGGCUUAGAUACCCUGGUAGUCCACGCUGUA
Molecule: ribosomal RNA, 750 nt
Filed under: uncultured bacterium
Lineage: Bacteria
Description: bacterial SSU rRNA
Rfam family: Bacterial small subunit ribosomal RNA
Source: RNAcentral